This 1122-nucleotide long non-coding RNA is filed under the name Sus scrofa (pig). RNAcentral's name for it is "lncRNA (ENSSSCG00060077092.1)". The record is from RNAcentral. Lineage: Eukaryota; Metazoa; Chordata; Mammalia; Artiodactyla; Suidae.
CGCGCAGCCCCGCCGGCCCAGGCCCCGCCUCCCGCCGGGCGCGCUCCUCACCCCGCAGCCCCCAGCCCGCUUCCGCCUCGACGCCAGGAGGCUCCGGACUCGCCUGCCCGCGGCCUCCGGGCAGGUUUGUACCAGAGGACGAUAAAAUCCGUUGAGGUCAGCGACAGGGCAGGGCCCACCCCAAACCCUCUGUUCUGCCAGCAUUUGUAGAGUUUCCUGCGCUGAAGCAGAACUCCUGCCAGAAAAAGGGUUACUUUCCUCUUUGUGUCUGUCAUCUUCCCGCUCCCCUGGGAGCUCUGAACAUCUUCAGAACAGCCUCUGGGACUUCCUGGGAUGUCCCCUCCCUGGGACCCUAGGGUCGCAGGGCGCUGCGGGCUUUACUGGCGGAGUGUCCGCUCUGUUAGGAAUCAGGUGGAAAGACGACACGUAAUCUAAUCUCUUAUCCUAAUGAGUCACUGAGCUUGUUUUCCCUUUUUCCCUUUCAAAACUGUCAAGGGCGAGCAGAAUCCGCAAAGCUGGUCUCUCUCUGGACAGGAAUCCACCUUCUCCCCCAGAUUGCCGGCUUUUCUGACUAAAGCAUCUUUCUCUUCAGCAGACACACGCCCCUCCACUAUUGGCUCUAGGAGGGAAAAGCCCAGAAGAAACUCUCACCUACUCACACUCGACCACGCUGCUCAGGGCGCCGGCGGUGUGGGUGCUCUGGAAUUUCUCGCCCCUGAAUCUCCACUGGACACGAAAGCCGCUGUUAGGGUAAGACCGGAACCUCGACUCCAGGAAAUCUCGUCCUUCCGCCCCAGAAGAGGAGCCUGGGCCUCAGAUUCCAGCGUCUGAGGAGACCCCCCCAGGUCCUCACCCUUUGCCGCCGGCCGGGCUCCUCCGGGUCGAAGGUGAGACUCGCAGCAGCAACUCCGAGUCCGGACCCUUGGUCUCCCCUUGGACCUGCGCCAACGAGGAGAUGCCCCCCCCCCGCCCCCGGACGUGACCAGAUGGAAACACGUUCAUUCCCUUCUGCUCCGGAGAAAUAUUUAGUCAGGAGCCCCAAGGACGUCUUACGUAGUGAAAAUAUUCGCCGCCAAAUCAUAGUUUGGGAACUUAGGAAAUACAACUUAUGCAAAAAAAAAA